This is a long non-coding RNA of Panicum hallii, 1749 nucleotides long. RefSeq lists it as uncharacterized. The transcript is spliced from 6 exons. The record is from RefSeq and is a predicted model, not a curated record. Lineage: Eukaryota; Viridiplantae; Streptophyta; Magnoliopsida; Poales; Poaceae.
GGGCUGGGAGAGCCGCGCGCAGUCUGGGAAGCUAGCGCAUCCCACCCUCAUGGUCUCGUGGGCACUGCGUCUCAUCCUCUCCCGAGUCCCCCUCUCCUAUUCUCUCAUCCUCUCAUGGGCUCACGGCCCUCCCGGCGCUCUCUCUCUCUCUCUCUCUCUCUCUCUCUCAGCGAAAGAAGGCGGCAGCGCUCGGUCUGGCGAGGGAAGGCAGCAGUGGCGCGGCCUUGCCGGCGAGGAAAGUCACGGCGAGUGGCCGACACAGAGGUGUUUUCUUCCUUUCCCUCUUUCCCCUCUCUCUCAGUCUCAUGCCCUCCCAUUUCUCAGCCACUACACAUGGAAGUGGGCUGCCGCCUGCCAGCAGUGGAGGCGCUUGGAAGGGGCUGAAGGUGGCCCGAAAGCUGAGGGCGACGGCUUCUGCAGCGUCCCUACCCUCCCCUGCUCCCGUGGCCUCCCUCUUGCCGGUCGCCAUCGACCUCUGGUGGUGUGGACACUUCCAUGGAGAUGUCCUCAUUGUGUUUCAUGAAAUGGGUAGAAGCACUCCCAGGAUGCCGGCGCUAUGAACCUUGAGAGACUUCAUCACUUGCUACUCCCAUCCAGGCUGAUAUUCUGCAGGAGCACAUGAAGAAAAGUGGUCUUUCAAAGAGGAUCGUGCUGGUUAGUUCUUCCCCUUUACUGAGCAUCUAUAAUGAGAAGGACCAGGUGCCAAGAUCAUAGCUGAUGCUAGACUUUACAAGACAAUUUGUGCCUAAAAAGUAGCAGAUGCCAAGAGCGUCUGCUGUUUCAAAAUCACUAAUGGGAUUGGUCACAACCCCACACCCUCAACAAGGUUAUGCUUGCUAUGGUUGGGAAAUAUACACUGGCCUGCAGGAUUCCUUGUAUUUUCGAAAUUCAGAUAGAAAUCACCUGCAAAGGAGGCACUUUUGAAGACAGAUUACAGUAAAAUAGGAGGUAAAAAUCGAUUUCUAGCUUUGCAUGCUAAUUUUCUUCAUGUACGAUUCUUUAUUUGCCAAUAAUCUUCUCUAAGUAGGUUGGGCAUCUGUAAAUGAUAGUUUUUUUUUUAUCCAUAUUGACAUAUAGUUUGCCUUUUAAUAUGAUGAUAGUCAUGGUUGAUUCAAUCAUACCUUUUCCUACCUUAUAGGAUAUAUUAGCGCUACAGGAUUGAUGUAGGUGAUCUCUUUAUUUUUUCUCAUUUCAUUAGAUUUAACUUAAGUUUGUGCGACAUUCAGAUCAUGUCUUUGUCUCCUAGGGUGCCAUCCCCUAUGAUGUCAUAAACUUGGGCAACCAAUGUGAUCAUGGGUUUCGUCUUGCCCAUGUUCAUGAUUUGCUCCAGAUGAUAUGUAGGUGUUUCUAAUGCACUCGCUUGCUGGUGCUGCAUAAAUUAGUAGUGUCUCAAUCCCGCCAACAGCUCAGGGUGUCGAUCCUGUCGGAGCUGUCCAUCACGCCGGCGUAUUACUGUGGAGGCUGAGAUGGUUCCUUGAGCAAGUAGGAUGAUUAUCUGAGAUUUCUAAAUCCAGAUGAAGUGGAGAUCGCCCAAAUUGAUUAUGUAAUAAGAUCCUGUCAUGUGAUGCUUCCCAUAACUAUCUGCAUCUUGCGGCAUAUUUGUUAUGUAUAAAUGGCUGAAAUGCUAAAAUUUUUGCUAUUAUUAUCUACCAAUUUAUGUACUGUCAAGCCCAUUGUUGGAUACGUAGUAAGUGGAGAGCUACUCACCCUAUUUUGUGGUAUCACUCUAGCUGGUUCUCUUUCCUCUUA